RNAcentral lists this ribosomal RNA (253 nucleotides) under uncultured bacterium. RNAcentral describes it as "partial 16S ribosomal RNA". It matches the Rfam family "Bacterial small subunit ribosomal RNA", at positions 524 to 776 of the family's 1533-position model. The record is from RNAcentral.
UACGUAGGGUGCAAGCGUUAAUCGGAAUUACUGGGCGUAAAGGGCUCGUAGGCGGCCAACUAAGUCAUACGUGAAAUCCCUCGGCUUAACCGGGGAACUGCGUCUGAUACUGGAUGGCUUGAGUUCGGGAGAGGGAUGCGGAAUUCCAGGUGUAGCGGUGAAAUGCGUAGAUAUCUGGAGGAACACCGGUGGCGAAGGCGGCAUCCUGGACCGACACUGACGCUGAGGAGCGAAAGCCAGGGGAGCAAACGGG